GACGAACGCUGGCGGCACGCCUAACACAUGCAAGUCGAACGGACUUACAAGAGCUUGCUUUUUUAAGUUAGUGGCGGACGGGUGAGUAACACGUGAGCAACCUGCCUCUGAGAGGGGGAUAGCUUCUGGAAACGGAUGGUAAUACCCCAUAAAAUAUAAAUAUCGCCUGAUAGAUAUAUCAAAGAAAUUCGCUCAGAGAUGGGCUCGCGUCUGAUUAGAUAGUUGGUGAGGUAACGGCUCACCAAGUCGACGAUCAGUAGCCGGACUGAGAGGUUGAACGGCCACAUUGGGACUGAGACACGGCCCAGACUCCUACGGGAGGCAGCAGUGGGGAAUAUUGCACAAUGGAGGGAACUCUGAUGCAGCGAUGCCGCGUGGAGGAAGAAGGUUUUCGGAUUGUAAACUCCUUUUAUCAGGGACGAUAAUGACGGUACCUGAAGAAAAAGCUCCGGCUAACUACGUG
This 463-nucleotide ribosomal RNA is filed under the name uncultured bacterium. Its description in RNAcentral is "partial 16S ribosomal RNA". It matches the Rfam family "Bacterial small subunit ribosomal RNA", at positions 28 to 507 of the family's 1533-position model. The record is from RNAcentral.